This 1085-nucleotide ribosomal RNA is filed under the name Salmonella enterica subsp. enterica serovar Typhimurium. RNAcentral's name for it is "bacterial SSU rRNA". It matches the Rfam family "Bacterial small subunit ribosomal RNA", at positions 1 to 1075 of the family's 1533-position model. The record is from RNAcentral. Lineage: Bacteria; Pseudomonadati; Pseudomonadota; Gammaproteobacteria; Enterobacterales; Enterobacteriaceae.
AAAUUGAAGAGUUUGAUCAUGGCUCAGAUUGAACGCUGGCGGCAGGCCUAACACAUGCAAGUCGAACGGUAACAGGAAGCAGCUUGCUGCUUCGCUGACGAGUGGCGGACGGGUGAGUAAUGUCUGGGAAACUGCCUGAUGGAGGGGGAUAACUACUGGAAACGGUGGCUAAUACCGCAUAACGUCGCAAGACCAAAGAGGGGGACCUUCGGGCCUCUUGCCAUCAGAUGUGCCCAGAUGGGAUUAGCUAGUUGGUGAGGUAACGGCUCACCAAGGCGACGAUCCCUAGCUGGUCUGAGAGGAUGACCAGCCACACUGGAACUGAGACACGGUCCAGACUCCUACGGGAGGCAGCAGUGGGGAAUAUUGCACAAUGGGCGCAAGCCUGAUGCAGCCAUGCCGCGUGUAUGAAGAAGGCCUUCGGGUUGUAAAGUACUUUCAGCGGGGAGGAAGGUGUUGUGGUUAAUAACCGCAGCAAUUGACGUUACCCGCAGAAGAAGCACCGGCUAACUCCGUGCCAGCAGCCGCGGUAAUACGGAGGGUGCAAGCGUUAAUCGGAAUUACUGGGCGUAAAGCGCACGCAGGCGGUCUGUCAAGUCGGAUGUGAAAUCCCCGGGCUCAACCUGGGAACUGCAUUCGAAACUGGCAGGCUUGAGUCUUGUAGAGGGGGGUAGAAUUCCAGGUGUAGCGGUGAAAUGCGUAGAGAUCUGGAGGAAUACCGGUGGCGAAGGCGGCCCCCUGGACAAAGACUGACGCUCAGGUGCGAAAGCGUGGGGAGCAAACAGGAUUAGAUACCCUGGUAGUCCACGCCGUAAACGAUGUCUACUUGGAGGUUGUGCCCUUGAGGCGUGGCUUCCGGAGCUAACGCGUUAAGUAGACCGCCUGGGGAGUACGGCCGCAAGGUUAAAACUCAAAUGAAUUGACGGGGGCCCGCACAAGCGGUGGAGCAUGUGGUUUAAUUCGAUGCAACGCGAAGAACCUUACCUGGUCUUGACAUCCACAGAACUUUCCAGAGAUGGAUUGGUGCCUUCGGGAACUGUGAGACAGGUGCUGCAUGGCUGUCGUCAGCUCGUGUUGUGAAAUGU